RNAcentral lists this ribosomal RNA (492 nucleotides) under uncultured bacterium. RNAcentral describes it as "partial 16S ribosomal RNA". It matches the Rfam family "Bacterial small subunit ribosomal RNA", at positions 29 to 507 of the family's 1533-position model. The record is from RNAcentral.
AGUGAACGCUGGCGGUAGGCCUAACACAUGCAAGUCGAACGGCAGCACAGUAAGAGCUUGCUCUUACGGGUGGCGAGUGGCGGACGGGUGAGGCAUACAUCGGAAUCUACUUUUUCGUGGGGGAUAACGUAGGGAAACUUACGCUAAUACCGCAUACGACCUACGGGUGAAAGCAGGGGAUCUUCGGACCUUGCGCGAUUGAAUGAGCCGAUGUCGGAUUAGCUAGUUGGCGGGGUAAAGGCCCACCAAGGCGACGAUCCGUAGCUGGUCUGAGAGGAUGAUCAGCCACACUGGAACUGAGACACGGUCCAGACUCCUACGGGAGGAAGCAGUGGGGAAUAUUGGACAAUGGGCGAAAGCCUGAUCCAGCCAUACCGCGUGGGUGAAGAAGGCCUUCGGGUUGUAAAGCCCUUUUGUUGGGAAAGAAAAGCAGCAGGUUAAUACCCCGCUGUUCUGACGGUACCCAAAGAAUAAGCACCGGCUAACUUCGUG